AGAGUUUGAUCAUGGCUCAGAACGAACGUUAGCGGCGCGCCUAACACAUGCAAGUCGAACGCGACAGGGGCAACUCUGUUGAGUGGCGCACGGGUGAGUAACACGUAGGUAAUCUCCCCUCGAGUGGUGGAUAACCUUCCGAAAGGAGGGCUAAUACAGCAUAAGACCACGGUCUCGAAAGAGGCUGAGGUCAAAGCGGAGGAUCGCAAGACUUCGCGCUUGAGGAUGAGCCUGCGGCCCAUCAGGUAGUUGGCGGGGUAAUGGCCCACCAAGCCUAAGACGGGUAGCUGGUCUGAGAGGAUGAUCAGCCACACUGGAACUGAGACACGGUCCAGACUCCUACGGGAGGCAGCAGUGGGGAAUCUUGCGCAAUGGACGAAAGUCUGACGCAGCGACGCCGCGUGGGUGAUGAAGGCCUUCGGGUUGUAAAGCCCUGUGGGGAGGGACGAAUAAGUUGCAGCUAAUACCUGCAGCGAUGACGGUACCUCCUUAGCAAGCACCGGCUAACUCUGUGCCAGCAGCCGCGGUAAGACAGAGGGUGCAAACGUUGUUCGGAAUUACUGGGCGUAAAGCGCGUGUAGGCGGCUAUGCAAGUCGGAUGUGAAAGCCCUCGGCUCAACCGGGGAAGUGCACCCGAAACUGCAAAGCUAGAGUCUCGGAGAGGAUCGUGGAAUUCUCGGUGUAGAGGUGAAAUUCGUAGAUAUCGAGAGGAACACCGGUGGCGAAGGCGGCGAUCUGGACGAUGACUGACGCUGAGACGCGAAAGCGUGGGGAGCAAACAGGAUUAGAUACCCCCGUAGUCC
This 803-nucleotide ribosomal RNA is filed under the name uncultured bacterium. Its description in RNAcentral is "bacterial SSU rRNA". It matches the Rfam family "Bacterial small subunit ribosomal RNA", at positions 8 to 796 of the family's 1533-position model. The record is from RNAcentral.